Apodemus sylvaticus (European woodmouse) is the source of this 4602-nucleotide long non-coding RNA. RefSeq lists it as uncharacterized. The record is from RefSeq and is a predicted model, not a curated record. The transcript is spliced from 3 exons. Lineage: Eukaryota; Metazoa; Chordata; Mammalia; Rodentia; Muridae.
CAAACAAAGCAGGUGCAUAUGGCUGGCAUGAGAGAGAAGCUGGGUCACGCUGGACUUCCAAAACUAAAGAUGUACACUGCCGGACAGAGAGCCAUGAGUUCCCACACACCCGAAUCCAGUGUGGCAUCCAUCUCCUGGCUGCAGCAGGAUGAAAGUCCAUCAAGGACAGGACAGAGGCAAGCCCGGCCACAGUCUGUUCCUUAGGGACCUCCCAGGAGGCACACUCAAAACCUAAGAGGAAGGAGAUAACAGGUGGCUGUGGUGGUCCAUCCCUAGAACCUCAGCUCUCAGGAUGCUGAGACUGUUACUCAAGGGACAAGAGAGUUGAUUCAAAGAGAAACUUCCUGCUUCCUUUUAAAGACCUAAUUCCUGCUGCACUAGUCUUUCCGAAAGCCAGCCACGCCCUCUUCCUCUGGCCUGGAGUUGCACUGGAGAGGUCUGGUGUGACAGAGCAGCGAGUCCUGCACUUGAGAACUGGAAAAAAAAAGUGUUAAUUUGUGCUUGCUAGUAGGUGGGGUCAGCUUUCUCUAAACACAGCACCUGUCCAUGCCUGCCAAGGCAUGUAAAAGUGUCUCUCUUCACCCUGCCCACCUCCCCCAAAGUGGCAGUGGUUCAGAGGCCAGACCCCUCCCCCCAAGGGGCAGCGUGCUAUGACUCUAUGACUACGGUGGAGCAGAAGGAAAUGUCAUCUCUCAGCUGACAUCCUGGCCUCACAGCUCGACAAGUGUGACAAAGGACCUCUGAGCACCUUUCCAGCCAAUCACAGGAGGUACAGGCCAGGCGCUCCUGCUGUUGGACCUAACGAGGAGGAAGGUAAUGGAGGUGGUUUGUGUCAUCACGACAGGAGUCCAGUGAAGGGCUUAAGAAGCAGACCUCAGGGCAUCCCCAGAACCUCCUAGUUAAAAUCCCCAGACCAUGCCUUUGUCUGGCCCGGCUGGCUCUGGUCUUGACCAAAUAUCUUUCCUAUGAUGUAUAAGGAAGGCUCUUGUUUCCAUCCUCAGAACUACCAAGGGGUUGGGGCUGGGGACACAGAGAGAGACAGAAACAGAGAGAAAGUUUCAGAAAGAGAUAGAGAGAUAGGGGGAAACAAAGACACACACACACAGAGAAACAGAGAGACAGAGGGGGAGACAGAUAGGGGGAGACAGAGAGAGACAUAGAAACAGAAAGAGACAGAGAGGGACUGAAAGAGAGAGGGAGGAGAUAGAAACAAAGAGACGAGAAGCUGAGAGACAGUGAUAGAAAGAGACAGCGACAAAGAGGUGGGGAGAGAGAGAGAGAGAGAGAGAGAGAGAGAGCACUAGCACUCAGGGAAAAAGAGGUAAACUAACUAAUCUCUAUGUAAAGCCCAGAAAGGCAUGUAUUGAGAGGGAUCUAUCUGGUGGUCCAUGUCUGUGAUCCCGACAUAGGCAAGCAUUAGUUAGUUUUCUGUUACUGAGAUAAAAUACCGUGACCAGGAGCAACGUAAGAAAGAAAAAGUUUACUACAUCGGCUAAUGGUUCCAGAAGGAUCUAGGCCAUCGUGACUGGGAGAUGCUUGGUAUGACGGCAGGAGCAGGGAGCUGGUAUAUCGCAUUUUCAUCCAAACACAGAAAGCAGAGACUAAACAGGAAGUGGGGCAGGGCUAUAAACUCCCAAAGCCCACCCCUGGUGAUGUGCUUCCUCAUAAAGGUUUCAUAACCUCCCCAGACAGCACCACCAUUAAGAGACCAAGUAUUCAAAUACAGGAGCCUAUUGGAGACAUUCCUAUUCAAACCACCACAUACACAUACCCAAAAUAAUGUACUUGACAGCCUGCCUUAUCACCUGGACAUACUGUGUAUAUACACACUGUCUUCAAACACUGGGUUUGAAGUAUACCCUGCAAUCUAGACUCCCCGUACCCACCACCUGCAUCAGAAUAUAAGUAUUCCUCACCAAUAGAGUAAGUAUCCUGGCCCCAGGUAACAACCAAAUCUAGGCAGUUUCAAGAGUUAUUACUUAAUCUGUCAAUCAAAAUAGAGAACCACCCAAACUACGGCCUUUGAUUUAGCCCCCUUAAGAGACCCAGGCUGUGGCCUUGACUACCCUCAUUCCUGUGGCCUGCAGUCAAUCUUUUUUGUUUGUUUUUGUUUUUUCAGUCAGGGUUCCUCUGUGUAGCCCUCGCUGUCCUGGAACUCACUCUGUAGACCAUGCUGGCCUCGAACUCAGAAAUCCACCUGCCUCGGCCUCCUGAGUGCUGGGAUCAAAGGUGUGCAUCAGUUCCACCCAGCAGCUUGCUUCUUUUGCAAAUCUGUGUGAGGAUUUCUAAUUCUUUGGACAAGAAACCAAGGGCCUGGAAGCAAUCAGCCUAUAGCCCAACCAGUGGUAAUCAUCGUAGCCAUCCUAGCACUUGGGGCAGAGGUAGGGGGACCAGGGCAAGUUUGGUAAAGGGCUACAGGUAAAGUCCCUGGUUUGAAUAACAGCAAUUAUCUUGUGCCCUCCAGUGUUUUGCUGUUUUUUGUUUGUUUGUUUUGCUAGUGUUUUACUUUCUUGAAGGUACCCACCCCUUAUUUAUUUAUUUUUGUUUUUUUGUUUGUUUGUUUGUUUUGUUUUUCGAGACAGGGUUUCUCUGUAUAGUCCUGGCUGUCCUGGAACUCACUCUGUAGAUCAGGCUGGCCUUGAACUCAGAAAUCCACCAGCCUCUGCCUCCCAAGUGCUGGGAUUAAAGGUGUGCGCCACCCCUGGCUUGUACCAGCCCCUUAUAAGUCCAGUUUCAUUCAUCCAUUAUCUUUGUGCUUAGAGAAUCUUUGCCUAACAAAUAGAAUCCUCCUCCGUGGUAUCUCAGGAAUUCAGAAUAUCUGAGAUUGCUGAGGUGUGUUCUAUUGCAGGCAAAACAUGCUCAGGAGAAAAAGGCUUUGCUGCAAUCAGACUGCAUUGUUCUGUGUUACUCAGUGUUGCGUGACACUGUGGCUUCCAGGCUGUGCCUCUCCAUGGCUUUUUUUUUUUUAAGCUUACCAUAACUCUUGUUUUUAAAGAUUUGUUUAUUUUUAUUGUAAAUGAAUGAACUUUUUGCCUGUGUGUAUGCCUGUGCAUCAUGUUCAUGGUCUCAGAAGCCAGAAGGCCUUGGAUCCUCUGGAAUUGGAAUUACAGGCUGCUGUGAACUGCUGUGUGGAUGUCAAGAAAUGAACCAGGGCCUCUGGGAGAACAAACAAUGAUUUCUGCCCCCCACCCCCAAGCUGGGGUUUCUCUGUGUAGCCCUGGCUGUCCUGGAACUCACGCUGUAGACCAGGCUGGCUUCAAACUCAGAGAUGUGCCUGCCUCUGCCUCCCAAGUCCUGGGAUUAAAAGUGUGUGUCAUCAGCACCAAGCUGUUUGGCUUUUAAAAUGUUUAUUUACACGUGUGUGUGUGUGUGUGUGUGUUGUAUGAUGUGUGAUGUGCACAGUGAGUCAGCAGUUUCACCCUAGCAGCCUCCAGACAACGUGAGGAAGGAGCAGGCCAACACAGGCAGAAUGAAGAUGUCACUUCCAGAUGUCACUUCCAGAAUGAAGACGUCACUUCCGGAGCCCUGGCCCUCUGCAAAUCUUGCACAUACGUGCUUUCUUCUUUCUAAUGCAGAGUUCUGGUUCCUGGACUUUUAAAGCCAGAAGCCAUCUGAGCCUAGCUUUGGGAAUCAAGAUUGAUGGUGUAAUAAAAUUAAUAGACCAUCAAACUUUCUCGCCUGAAUUACAGUCCCAUUAUCACAGGAGAGACAAACAACACACUUCAUUAAACUGAAGGGUGACCAGAGACUCUGGAGAGAAGCACAGACGUGAUGGGGAGAUUGUGGCCUCUUCAGACCUGGAGUCUCCUAGACUGUGUGAUGAGUGAGCUCUGGGCGGUGCCUUUUGAGAAGGGAAGUGACCUGCCUAAGGUGCUGGGUGCCUUUGAAAAGGAGAGACCUAAGGAAUACAGCUGCCUCCUUCUCAGAGUCUGCUGUCACCCACCCACCCCCAGCCCAGGGGAGGAACGCAGUAUACGUGAGCACCUGAGCACCUCAUCCUCACACGUGCUGCUUGCUGUGACUUCUUGGUGUCAACGUUUACUCCCAGUCAAAAUUGCUGAGGGUCACACCAGGGCUCACUGACGGCAGACCUACCUGUCCAUCCCAGUUCCUGGUUUGAAAUCAAGGGCCCAAAUUGUGAAUUCAUCAGGCGAUACCCUCAAGGAUAAACGGCUCACAGACCACCACAAAGCCUAACAGUGAGGCUCAACCUCAGGGACAAAGACCCUAUAGGAUAUCAUCUGCAAAGAAACACGCGUGUGCGCGCAAAAGAGAGAGCGAGGGGGAGAGAGAGAGAGAGAGAGAGAGAGGUUUGGCACACAAAACCAGCCAGUAUACAGCCAGUAUAUAUAUGUACACACACACACACACACACACACACACACACACGUAUACUCCAGCCAGCUUUCCUGAUCCAUAUGUACAUCAACUGCACUUCCUAGGGAUAUUCCUGAGAGCUCCUGAGUUCCACUUAGGCUGAUACAGGACCCUGUGUUGGCUCAGCCUGGGUCCCAUGCCCAGACUCUUCUCUUCUGGAAAGGAAAGUCUAAAAAAAAAGUUGAAUAUUUUUAGUUGUCUUAAAAUAGUUUGUACUUCCAAUAA